RNAcentral lists this long non-coding RNA (3510 nucleotides) under Pan troglodytes (chimpanzee). RNAcentral describes it as "long non-coding RNA NONPTRT002137". The record is from RNAcentral. Lineage: Eukaryota; Metazoa; Chordata; Mammalia; Primates; Hominidae.
GGGAGCGGCGCGAGGACUUGUAGGAAAUGUAAUGUGCACUUUUUGGCCCCGGUCGCGGGAGCCGCUUUGGGCUUUCUGCGCAUGUGCGCGGUGUGGCUCGAGGUUUGUUUUUCUCCGGUGCAGCCUGGUAGGGAGGGCUCCCGGCAUCUCCCUGCGUCGGGGCAGAGGAUGCCGAGGGUAGAGUACCGGAGGGCUGGAGCGAGGGUGGACUGGAGGUGCCGCUUGUCCUGGAGGUGGGAGAGAGGGAGCGGCUUUGCCGCCUGGCCUGCGUCCUAAUCCUGCCCUGGUUCUUCUGCUCCCGAAGGGAACGCAGGUCCCGCGCCUGUGACAAGUAAGGUUGGAUUUUCUCUCCCCUGAGGUGAAGGAUGCCCGGAGGCCUCGGCAGGACCGCGCGGAAACGGGCCUUCUGCCCAAAAGAUGCUGCUUCUCUCCUUAUUCUUUCCCCUCAGAAUCUCGCUGUCUCCUUCCAACCACCUGUGGUCGGCAUCCCCGCGUUGUCACUGCGACGCAGAGGUCGCAGCUUCAUGGCCUGAUGCCGUCAGGAAGUAUUUUGAAGUCAUCGUGGCUGUGGAUUGGGGGAUUUCUUGUUUCCACUGACCUGUGAGGCCGCGCACGUGGAGGGAGGCACCCCGGGUCCUCCGGCACUGUCCGGCCUCGCCUGUGUCCCUAGUAGCAGUGGGCAUUUCCAGACGGUGCAGCUUGUGGCUAAAGUGACAGGAAGAUGUAGGAGCUUUCAGUCUUGGAUGAGGAUUCGAACUGAAAGGGUUAGGCCCAGCUGUCUUGGAGCAAAACAUCUGUUGUGGGACUCCCACAGGCUGGGUGAUGGUGGGAGAUUUGUGCCCAUUCAGAUGUGGCGGCAGAGGAGGGCAAGGCCGAAGGAGCAGACAGCACCGCUUCUUGGGGAGUUGUGAAGGCAUCAUGCGGAGGGCCGAGCUUAGCAGCCAAGUGGAGGACAGCAACCUCCAUGCCUGGAUUCGUUACUCGCUCGUUCUAGAUGUUGAGCUGCUGGCAUAUUGCAGCACAACUAGAGAUGUACGGAUGCCCCCAUCUUGAUCUUACAGAAUCAGAGGUGCAGCCGCAAGAAAGCUACACCCUCUCGGUUUUCUCUGCUCUGCCAACACUAGUGGAAUAUGAUCACAUCCCAGGGAUCAGUGUCAUUUAGGGAUGUGACUAUGGGCUUCACUCAAGAGGAGUGGCAGCAUCUGGACCCUGCUCAGAGGACCCUGUACAGGAAUGUGAUGCUGGAGAACUACAGCCACCUUGUCUCAGUAGGGUAUUGCAUUCCUAAACCAGAAGUGAUCCUCAAAUUGGAGACAGGCAAGGAGCCAUGGAUAUUAGAGGAAAAAUUUCGAAGCCAGAGUCAUCUGGGUGGGUUAGUGCCAGAUGGAAUUUAAAGAAUUAAUUAAUACCAGUAGAAACUAUUCAAGAACGAAGUUCAAUGAGUUUAACAAAGGUGGAAAAUGUUUCUGUGAUGAAAGCAUGAAAUAAUUCAUUUUGAAGAGGAACCUUCUGAAUAUAAUAAAAAUGGGAACAGCUUCUGGCUGAAUGAAGACCUCAUUUGGCAUCAGAAGAUUAAAAAUUGGGAGCAACCUUUUGAAUACAAUGAAUGUGGGAAAGCUUUCCCUGAGAAUUCACUCUUCCUUGUACAUAAGAGAGCUUACACAGGACAGAAAACAUGCAAAUAUACUGAACAUGGGAAAACCUGUUAUAUGUCAUUUUUUAUUACUCAUCAGCAAACACAUCCAAGAGAGAACCACUAUGAAUGUAAUGAAUGUGGAGAAAGUAUCUUUGAGGAAUCCAUUCUCUUUGAACAUCAGAAUGUUUACCCAUUCAGCCAGAAUUUAAAUCCCACUCUAAUUCCGAGAACCCACUCAAUUAGCAAUAUUAUUGAAUAUAAUGAAUGUGGAACCUUUUUCAGUGAAAAAUUAGCCCUUCAUUUACAACAGAGAACACAUCCAGGGGAAAAACCUUAUGAAUAUCAUGAAUGUGGAAAAACCUUCACCCAGAAGUCAGCCCACACAAGACAUCAGAGAACACACACAGGGAAAACCCUAUGAAUGUCAUGGAUGUGGGAAGACCUUCUAUAAGAAUUCAGACCUCAUUAGAAAUCAAAGAAUUCACACAGGGGAGAGACCUUACAGAUGUCAUGAAUGGAGAAAUCCUUCAGUGAAAAGUCAUCCCUUACUCAACAUCAGAGAACACACGCGGGGAGAAAUCAUAUGAAUGUCAUGAAUGUGGGAAAACCUCGUUUAAGUCAGUUCUAACUGUGCAUCAGAAAACACACAGGGGAGAAGCCCUAUGAAUGCUAUGCAUGUGGGAACACCUUUCUUGGAAAAUCCGACCUCAUUAAACAUCAGAGAAUUCACACAGGAGAAAAACCUUAUGAAUGUAAUGAAUGUGGGAAGUCAUUCUCUGAGAAGUCAACCCUUACUAAACAUCUAAGAACACACAGAUGGGAAAUCUUAUGAAUGUAUUCAAUGUGGAAAAUUUUUCUGCUGCUACUACAGUUUCACAGAACAUCUGAGAAGACACACAGGGGAGAAACCUUUUGGAUGUAAUGAAUGUGGGAAAACCUUCCAUCAGAAGUCGGCCCUAAUUGUUCACCAGAGAACUCAUAUAAGACAGAAACCCUAUGGAUGUAAUGAAUAUGGAAAAUCAUUCUGUGUGAAGUCAAAACUCAUUGCACAUCAUAGAACAUACAAAGGGGAGAAACCCUAUGAAUGUAAUGUUUGUGGAAAAUUAUUAUUAAGUCAAAACUAACUGUACAUCACAGAACACACUUGAGGUGAAACCCUAUAAAUGUAGUAAGUGAGGGAAAUUACUCUGGGUGAAGUCAGAACUUUGUAGAGCAGAGAACAUAAAGGGUGAGAGAAAUCUGUUAAUAUAAUGAUAAUGAGAACACCUUUGCCCUGAAGUCAGUUCUCACAGUAGAGAAGAGAACUUAAAGAGGGAAAAAACAAUAUGAAGAUAUGGAAUGCAGGAAAACAUUAUUCUGGGAUUUGGGCCAUAGAUUAUGUUUAAAAACUAAAAGUGAAAAACACUUAUUGGUGAAUGAAUAUAGGAAACAUUUUGCUCAAUGCCACACCUCAGUAAACAUCAGAGAGUUCACACAGGGUGAAACCUGGCUCAGCAUCCCUAAGUUGAGAAGGGAUGCAUUUUUUUUUGCUACUACUACAGUUUCACAGAAUAUCUGAGAAGACACACAGGGGAGAAACUUUUUGGGUGUAAUGAAUGUGGGAAAACCUUUCACCAGAAGUGAGCCCUAAUUGUUCACCACAGAACUCAUAUAAGACAGAAACCCUAUGGAUGUAAUGAAUGUGGAAAAUCAUUCUGUGUGAAGUCAAGAGGCCACAGAAAAUGCACAAACUAUAGGAAAGCAUUUACUAUGAGGUUAUAUUUUAUAGAGUAUAUGUAAUAAGAAGUACCUUCUUAGUGAACAUCAGAUAGUAGAGGAAGUAUUUUUAACUGUAUCCAAUGUGUGGACAUUUUAGGUUAAAAUCUAAAUUUAAU